Caenorhabditis elegans is the source of this 167-nucleotide non-coding RNA. The record is from Ensembl. NCBI's taxonomy places the organism in Eukaryota, Metazoa, Nematoda, Chromadorea, Rhabditida, Rhabditidae.
UCCAAUAAUUUAUCGAAAAAACACCAAGCACACUUUCAACAAAAAGAAAAAUAAUCAAUGAAACUGGAAGUGGAAUAGUAGGAAACAGGAGGAGGACAGAAAAAAGAACCAAAACAGGGAUCCGACAAAAUUUUUUGGACUAAUAGAGAGACAAAAACGGAGAGAAA